GCCUGUUUGGCUCAGUUGGUACAGGAUGUGACUCUUGAUCUCAGGGUCGUGAGUUCAAGCCCCACGGUGGGCG
This 73-nucleotide transfer RNA is filed under the name Ailuropoda melanoleuca (giant panda). It matches the Rfam family "tRNA". Rfam says of the family: Transfer RNA (tRNA) molecules are approximately 80 nucleotides in length. Their secondary structure includes four short double-helical elements and three loops (D, anti-codon, and T loops). Lineage: Eukaryota; Metazoa; Chordata; Mammalia; Carnivora; Ursidae. The record is from Rfam by way of RNAcentral.